RNAcentral lists this ribosomal RNA (242 nucleotides) under uncultured bacterium. RNAcentral describes it as "partial 16S ribosomal RNA". It matches the Rfam family "Bacterial small subunit ribosomal RNA", at positions 102 to 334 of the family's 1533-position model. The record is from RNAcentral.
CACGGGUGAGUAACACGUGGAUAAUCUGCCCAUCAGUUUGGAACAACAGUUGGAAACGACUGCUAAUACUGGAUACGAUCUGAUUUUACGGUUAGAUGAAAGGAGGCCUCUGCUUGCAAGCUUCGCUGAUGGAUGAGUCCGCGGCUCAUUAGGUAGUUGGUGGGGUAACGGCCUACCAAGCCGACGAUGAGUAGCCGGCCUGAGAGGGUAAUCGGCCACACUGGGACUGGAACACGGCCCAG